UACGUAGGGGGCGAGCGUUGUCCGGAGUUACUGGGCGUAAAGCGCACGCAGGCGGUUCUGCGCGUUUCCGGUGCCAGCUCGCUGCUCAACGGCGAGAGUGCCGGGAAGACGGUGGGACUUGAGAACCUUAGAGGGACAUAGAAUUCCGGGUGGAGUGGUGAAAUGCGUAGAUAUCCGGAGGAAUACCAAAGGCGAAGGCAGUGUCCUGGGAGGUUUCUGACGCUGAGGUGCGAAAGCCAGGGGAGCGAACGG
This 252-nucleotide ribosomal RNA is filed under the name uncultured bacterium. RNAcentral describes it as "partial 16S ribosomal RNA". It matches the Rfam family "Bacterial small subunit ribosomal RNA", at positions 524 to 775 of the family's 1533-position model. The record is from RNAcentral.